Odontomachus brunneus is the source of this 4609-nucleotide RNA transcript. RefSeq lists it as uncharacterized. The record is from RefSeq and is a predicted model, not a curated record. Lineage: Eukaryota; Metazoa; Arthropoda; Insecta; Hymenoptera; Formicidae. The transcript is spliced from 3 exons.
UAGUCUUGUAAAGACUCGGACGUGAAUGCAGAGUCGCUGGCGCGAUAAAAAACUAAGUCUUGUACGGCUUAGAAGCGAACGUGACUCGCGUGAGGAAUAUCACAAACGCGACGGCGACUAAGUUCCUGUACGGACAUAGAAGCGAGCGUGGCUCACGUGAGAAAGUCGCGGGUGCGACGGAGACUAAAUCCUGUACGGACUAAGGGUGCGUUCCUUUAUUUACUGCGAGUACUGUCAGUACUACAACAGCGUUCCGAAAUAGGUUACAGUGCACUGCGAAAGCAAUUCGACGAGUUUGUGACGUCAUGAAUUUCGAUGUCACUUCCUGUUGUGACCACUGCAGCCGGCGAGGUAAAGUAGUUGCAGUUCAAGAUGGCGAGUUACAUUGAAAUAACCUUACUCGAUGCUGAAACCAACGAGGCAUAUAAAAUAGUUGUUAGUCCAGAAGACGCUAAAAGAGCUGAAAGUGAUUUAGAGUUUGCAACAAAAUUAUUGGAACGUGCAAGAAGUAACAGUAAGAAAAAAACUAUUUUAAACACUAUAUUAACUAUUAUAUACAAAUUUUGUUUGCUCUAAGUGUUUAAUGAUAAGUUAGAUGUAUUAAUUAAACUGUUAUAACUUAGAUUCUCCUUAAUUUUAAGUUAUCUUGAUCCCUCUGUAGGAGACAGAAGCAAUAUUAAUAAAAUUUGCGAUUACUCAGUAUUAGAUGAUAACAAAGAAAAUGAUAAUAUUAAAGAUAAAGGGUUGGUUGCAAUUGGGCAACGGCUUUAGUUUUCCUCCUGACGAAAGAUACACUCUUAUAAAAUUUAUAAAACAUCUUGAGAACAACGAAGUCAUUCAGUAAUAAUGAGAAGAAGAACGUGAGGAGUCUCUAUUCCCAUUUUACGUGACAUUAAAUUAUAUAUACCAUCUUUAUAUCAUGAUAAUAAACUUCUCCUUCACACUUACAGAGCAGCCAAAUCAUUUGCCAAGUCGUUCCCUGAUUUGUUAUUUACUAAAGCUGACAAAGGAAAUGUCACUGUUCUGGACAAGGACGUUUAUGUUAAGAUGUCACAAUUGGAGGAUACUAAUACAUAUCAAGUUGUCAAAAAGGAUCCCACUAAGAAAAUAAUAACUGAGCUACACAAUAUUUUAAAGAGAUGGAAGAAUAAGUCUUAUAUUGACAAGUCUAUUUUUAGGUUUUUGUAAUCAAGUGAUGGCAUUCUCCCUCGUGCUUACGGUUCUCCUAAGAUACACAAAGCUGACAACCCUUUAAGGAUUAUUGUUUCAUCUAUCAAUAGUCCUUUGUAUAACUUGGCCUUGUUUUUACAUAAGUUAAUUUCUUCUAAUAUCCCGGCGGCUAAUAGCAAAAUCAAAAAUAGCUUUGAUCUGGUUGGAUCUCUUGCAAAUUUAUAUGUAGAGGAACACUUUAAACUGUUUUCAUUGGAUGUGGUAUCAUUGUUCAUCAAUAUUCCUCUUGAAUUAGCAAUGAAUGGUAUUUUAAGAAAGUGGUGUUUUUUAGAGACAUUCAGUAAAAUUCCGAAGGAAGAAUUUAUUUUAGCACUAAAAUUUGUUCUCAAUUCUACUUAUUUCUGCUUUAAUGGCAGGAUUUACAGACAGACCUUUGGCAGUCCGAUGGGUUCUCCUCUCUCUCCUGUCAUAGCUGACAUAGUUCUCCAAGACCUCGAGGAAAGAGCACUUCAAAGGAUACAGAUCCCUUUAUUUUGUGGACGACAUUGUUUUAGCUGCUCUAGAAACUUUUGUUGAAAACAUUUUAAUUGUUUUUAAUUCUUUCCAUCCACGCCUUUAGUUUACGAUGGAUUUGGGCGAGAAUGGAAAAAUUAAUUUUUUGGAUACCUCUAUAGAGAUCGUUGAUAACAGACUCAGGUUUGAUUGGUACCAUAAGCCUACCUACUUUGGCUGCCUACUCAAUUUUAAUUCUUUCCAUCCACUACAGCACAAAAUUGGUACAAUCAUAGGGUUAGUUGAUAGAAUCAUUUUUUUAAGCCAUUCUGCGUUCCAUGAAAGGAAUUUUGCGUUUGUCAUCCGCACUUUAGUACAGAAUGGUUAUCCCACUGAUUUUAUUUUCAGAAUCUUUAAAAAACGUGUUUUUGGAUUAAUCGACAAAAUGAAUACUACCAUCUAGUGAGGCUUUGGCUUCCUCAGUUCCCUCUCGGUGUUAUUGCAUCUUUCCAUAUAUGGGGAGAAUAUCUGAUAGAUUUAGUAAAAUCUUCAAAAAAUUUAAUAAUGUUCAAUGCUUUACUGUUAUGAACAAGCUUUCUGGUUUAGUUCGUGUUCAGAAGGACAGACUUCCUCGAGAUCUCCAUAAUAAUGUUGUGUACAUGUUUGAAUGCAAUGAUUGUGACUCUUCUUAUGUUGGUCAAACAGGCAGAAGGCUUUCCACACGUAUGUCUGAGCAUAAACGUUUACCUAAGGAUCUUAUAUCACAACUCUCUGUUGUUCAGGAGCAUCGUAUCAGGUGUGGUCAUGAAUUUGAAUGGGAUAGUAUAAGAAUUUUACAUAAAGAAUGCCUUUUUUAUAAAAGGAUGAUUGCUGAAAUGAUUUUUAUUAAAAUGCAGGCACGCAGGCUAAAUUCUCAGACUGAUACUGAAAAUUUAGGUAAAUGUUAUAAUACGUUACUUGAUUUGACUUCAUUUGUUUUUCGUUUACAUUUUGACUAAGUAAAUAUAAACACAUUGUUCUGUACUGCUUGUGGCAUUCGGAGGUAUAUGCUUAUUAACUUAACAUCACCACUCUUCCUGGAGCUCUAAAAUUUCUUUUAUUGAGGUAUUUAAUUUCUUUGUUUUCCUCGGGCUUAGUUCGGUUACUCUAUUUUAACACGUAUUUUCUGUUAAUUACACCAUAGCACCUUAGUACGUACGAUGGAGUGACUGAUCUCACAAUAAGAUUUUUACUGACUUAUAUUUACAGUCUUCCAAAGAGAGGUUUCUUUAUCCUAAGGAUAAAUUUUAUUUGUUUGCGUUCGUGCUUCCGAUUGCCGUAAUCAAACUUUGUAUCGAAAAUUUUGUGUAAUAACAACUCUUAUAAUACUGACGAUUUGCGACCUUAUGUUUGACAUUCUUAUUAUUUCGAACAGCCUUAGGCGGUGAGCGGCUAGUUCAGAUGCCGUCGAACGCUCGUCGACUGCUAUCAUCAAUUGCGCGAGUAUAAGUGCGUGCUCUCCUAUCCAGGAGCCCCGUAAGAUGGUGUGGGGAAAGUACGAGAGUGCUCUUGUGUAUAAGAGCACGGCGUGACCCAGUGAAGGACACGCGGGGGAUUGCCCGGCGCCUCCGCGCUGGGAAGGAUUCCCCCUUUCGGAGGAUAAUCACUCAGAGUGUGGAGACUUAUCCGUCUUCCUUGUGAGUGUCGAAGCAAAGUCCGACUAAGAUUCAGCUCCGGUGGGCGAGGAAGCAACAGAGGCUGAAUCUAAGAUGUUAGACUGGCGAACGUUGCUCGCCUGAAUAGUCGCACACGCGGCGAAUGCGAUGUCUCGUAGUGAAAGCCUAAACGCGAACGUAACUCUGAAUCGCGUACGCGGCCGAGUCGUAGUUUGACGUUAACGUACAUGUAACCGUAGAUAUGCGGUGAGUGUACCGCGUGCGUGACGAAUGCUAAUUCUCGUUGAGCCGAGAAGCGAAUAUUCCUCGCAUAUAGAGUCGCGGAUGCGACGACGUAGAAGUCUUGAUUAGACAGGCCCGCAAUCGUGUGGCGCGAGAGCGCGGUGCCCCUGGCAGGGAAGUAAUAGCGAGCGUGGCUCACGUGAGCGCUGCGUGUCUCUGGCAGCAAAGCUCUCGAAGAAAACUGACUCGCGCGGAGUCAUGAGCGCCCGACAGUAAUAAGUUCUGUCGGCACGAAUACCCGGUAUAGGUAAUACGGGAGAUGUCGCGAAGAGAGCGUCCACUGCGGUGGAGGCGUCAAAAGUAAUCCGAAGUGGUCGCGCGAAGCCUUCUCUCAAUCCUAGAUUGUAUUGAGAAGGUGGAGAUCCGUGGAGUUACCCAUAUACUUCGUAACACAGAUGCCAACGUGUCCUCGGACACUCUAGAGGCAAUAGCCCAACGUGCAAACGCACUCUAAAGGCUGUAGAGAGUUGUGUAGAAUCAUCGAAGACCUAAACACAAAAUGCCAACGUGUCUACGACACUCUUAAGGCAGUGAAGAUCGAUACAGAUAUUCAAAACGUAUACCUCUGACAAGGCAAGUGCCCAACGUGCCUGCGCACUCAAGAAGGCGAUAUAAAGCUAACUAGAACUUAAAAGAAUACCUCAAUGAGGCAGUGACCUAAUGUGCAAUCGCAGUCAAAAUGCUGGCAAAAGCCUCGAGUUAUCUCGCGCGGCGCCUUAUAUAGGCGCCCAAGCGAGAAUUAACUGCGAGAAGCAGCUCUGGCUGACGUGCUCGCCGCGUCGCGGCGACGGCGCGCACUAGCGGAAGGAGGCCGGCGACCGCGAGUUGAGCGGCGCCUAGGGCUCAGCCGCCCGCCGUACACGCUCCGCACAGACACCCAGCUGCUGUCCGGAACACUUAUGAAAUCUAAUUUGUUUCUUUUAUUGUAAUCACUGAAGAUGGUCUGUAAAGUCUGUAAAGACCGAAACGCGUAUGAUUAUUUGAUUAUUAAUAAAUUUCUUCUCAUUUGA